Molecule: ribosomal RNA, 492 nt
Filed under: uncultured bacterium
Lineage: Bacteria
Description: partial 16S ribosomal RNA
Rfam family: Bacterial small subunit ribosomal RNA
Source: RNAcentral
AGUGAACGCUGGCGGUAGUCCUAACACAUGCAAGUCGAACGGCAGCACAGUAAGAGCUUGCUCUUACGGGUGGCGAGUGGCGGACGGGUGAGGAAUACAUCGGAAUCUACUUUUUCGUGGGGGAUAACGUAGGGAAACUUACGCUAAUACCGCAUACGACCUACGGGUGAAAGCAGGGGAUCUUCGGACCUUGCGCGAUUGAAUGAGCCGAUGUCGGAUUAGCUAGUUGGCGGGGUAAAGGCCCACCAAGGCGACGAUCCGUAGCUGGUCUGAGAGGAUGAUCAGCCACACUGGAACUGAGACACGGUCCAGACUCCUACGGGAGGCAGCAGUGGGGAAUAUUGGACAAAGGGCGCAAGCCUGAUCCAGCCAUACCGCGUGGGUGAAGAAGGCCUUCGGGUUGUAAAGCCCUUUUGUUGGGAAAGAAAAGCAGCAGGUUAAUACCCCGCUGUUCUGACGGUACCCAAAGAAUAAGCACCGGCUAACUUCGUG